RNAcentral lists this microRNA precursor (160 nucleotides) under Physcomitrium patens. RNAcentral describes it as "Physcomitrella patens MIR538 microRNA precursor family". It matches the Rfam family "MIR538 microRNA precursor family". Lineage: Eukaryota; Viridiplantae; Streptophyta; Bryopsida; Funariales; Funariaceae. The record is from Rfam by way of RNAcentral.
UCACGAAGAGUUCUUAGUUCUCCAUGCUUCUCUAACGUUGCAUGGAGUCUAUGUCUGGACCUCCUCCAUUUGCUCUUUCAAGAGAAUGUGAGAAUUUCGAGAUUCGGACAUAGCCUUCAUGCAUGCUAGAGUAGAAUGGAAUCUCCUGAUCCUCUUGGAA